GCCUCAGUAGCGCAGUAGGUAGCGCGUCAGUCUCAUAAUCUGAAGGUUGUGAGUUCGAUCCUCACCUGGGGCA
This 73-nucleotide transfer RNA is filed under the name Centruroides sculpturatus (bark scorpion). Its description in RNAcentral is "tRNA-Met". It matches the Rfam family "tRNA". Rfam says of the family: Transfer RNA (tRNA) molecules are approximately 80 nucleotides in length. Their secondary structure includes four short double-helical elements and three loops (D, anti-codon, and T loops). The record is from RNAcentral. Lineage: Eukaryota; Metazoa; Arthropoda; Arachnida; Scorpiones; Buthidae.